This 498-nucleotide ribosomal RNA is filed under the name uncultured organism. RNAcentral's name for it is "bacterial SSU rRNA". It matches the Rfam family "Bacterial small subunit ribosomal RNA", at positions 28 to 507 of the family's 1533-position model. The record is from RNAcentral.
GACGAACGCUGGCGGCGCGCUUAACACAUGCAAGUCGAACGGAGCCGAGCUGCUCACUGCGCCCACACUGUGGUGCGGGCGGAGUGAGUGGUUCGACUUAGUGGCGGACGGGUGAGUAACGCGUGAGCAACCUGCCCUUCAGAGGGGGAUAACGUCUGGAAACGGACGCUAAUACCGCAUAACGUGCGGAGGCCGCAUGGCUUCUGUACCAAAGGAGAAAUCCGCUGAAGGAUGGGCUCGCGUCCGAUUAGCCAGUUGGCGGGGUAACGGCCCACCAAAGCUACGAUCGGUAGCCGGACUGAGAGGUUGGCCGGCCACAUUGGGACUGAGACACGGCCCAGACUCCUACGGGAGGCAGCAGUGGGGGAUAUUGCACAAUGGAGGAAACUCUGAUGCAGCGACGCCGCGUGAGGGAAGAAGGUCUUCGGAUUGUAAACCUCUGUCUUCGGGAACGAAUAAAUGACGGUACCCGGGGAGGAAGCCACGGCUAACUACGUG